Molecule: non-coding RNA, 103 nt
Organism: Picea glauca (white spruce)
Lineage: Eukaryota; Viridiplantae; Streptophyta; Pinopsida; Pinales; Pinaceae
Source: Rfam
GGGUGCGAUCAUACCAACGUUAAUGCACCGAUCCCAUAAGAACUCUUGGGCUAGAGUAUUACUGGGAUGGGUGACCUCUCGGGAAGUCCUAGUGUUGCACCCU